RNAcentral lists this small RNA (62 nucleotides) under Chinchilla lanigera (long-tailed chinchilla). RNAcentral describes it as "7SK RNA (ENSCLAG00000021254.1)". It matches the Rfam family "7SK RNA", at positions 25 to 86 of the family's 331-position model. Rfam says of the family: 7SK was discovered as an abundant small nuclear RNA in the mid-70s but a possible function has only recently been suggested. The record is from RNAcentral. Lineage: Eukaryota; Metazoa; Chordata; Mammalia; Rodentia; Chinchillidae.
AGAUCUGCAGCCCCACUUAUCACCACGGUUGCUUCGGUUGAUCUGGCUGGCUAGGCAGGUUU